GGGGAUUUAGCUCAGUGGUUAGAGCGCUUGCCUACCAAGCCCAAGGCCCUGGGUUCGGUCCCCAGCUCCA
This 70-nucleotide transfer RNA is filed under the name Rattus norvegicus (Norway rat). It matches the Rfam family "tRNA". From Rfam's summary of the family: Transfer RNA (tRNA) molecules are approximately 80 nucleotides in length. The record is from Rfam by way of RNAcentral. Lineage: Eukaryota; Metazoa; Chordata; Mammalia; Rodentia; Muridae.